GAUGAACGCUGGCGGCGUGCCUAAUACAUGCAAGUCGAGCGAACAGACGAGGAGCUUGCUCCUCUGACGUUAGCGGCGGACGGGUGAGUAACACGUGGAUAACCUACCUAUAAGACUGGGAUAACUUCGGGAAACCGGAGCUAAUACCGGAUAAUAUAUUGAACCGCAUGGUUCAAUAGUGAAAUACGGUUUUUCUGUCACUUAUAGAUGUAUCCGCGCCGCAUUAGCUAGUUGGUAAGGUAACGGCUUACCAAGGCAACGAUGCGUAUCCGACCUGAGAGGGUGAUCGGCCACACGGGAAGUGAGACACGGUCCAGACUCCUACGGGAGGCAGCAGUAGGGAAUCUUCCGCAAUGGGCGAAAGCCUGACGGAGCAACGCCGCGUGAGUGAUGAAGGUCUUCGGAUCGUAAAACUCUGUUAUUAGGGAAGAACAAAUGUGUAAGUAACUAUGCACGUCUUGACGGUAACUAAUCAGAAAGCAACGGCUAACUACGUG
RNAcentral lists this ribosomal RNA (497 nucleotides) under uncultured bacterium. RNAcentral's name for it is "partial 16S ribosomal RNA". It matches the Rfam family "Bacterial small subunit ribosomal RNA", at positions 28 to 507 of the family's 1533-position model. The record is from RNAcentral.